UACGUAGGGGGCGAGCGUUGUUCGGAUUUACUGGGCGUAAAGCGUGCGUAGGCGGUUUGGCAAGUCCGGCGUGAAAUCCACACCACUCAACGGGUGGGUGUCGCUGGAUACUACCAGGCUAGAGGACGAGAGAGGAAAUUGGAAUUCCAGGUGUAGCGGUGGAAUGCGCAGAUAUCUGGAAGAACACCAGUGGCGAAGGCGGAUUUCUGGCUCGUUUCUGACGCUGAUGCACGAAAGCCAGGGGAGCGAACGGG
Molecule: ribosomal RNA, 254 nt
Filed under: uncultured bacterium
Lineage: Bacteria
Description: partial 16S ribosomal RNA
Rfam family: Bacterial small subunit ribosomal RNA
Source: RNAcentral